Camellia sinensis is the source of this 2421-nucleotide non-coding RNA. The record is from RefSeq and is a predicted model, not a curated record. Lineage: Eukaryota; Viridiplantae; Streptophyta; Magnoliopsida; Ericales; Theaceae.
UUUUGUGAUUCACGCUCUCUCUCUCUCUCUCUCUCUCUCUCUCUCAGAGAAUGAUAAACACCUCUUGGGCACAACCUUUGCAUCUCCUCCUCUUCCCUGAAUUCAGAUCCUCUUCCCCAAUAGAGACCCACUUCGCCAUAGACGGUGCUUUUCAUUUCUCUUACAACCCUUCGAAACUCAUUCGCUUGGGAAAGACAUGCAAUUUUGGAUUUCCCCUCUUGUUUGUGAUAGGAAACAAACAAGAAUUCUGCAUGUCAAGUGUUUGAAGAUAUUUCCGAGAGAUAACCCAUCAACCCAUCAAACCAUCAACCCACUGUUGUUGAAAAACUUAUGGAACAUUUCUUUUCUCCUUGAGUAGGGGUGGUAGUGAUUUGACAACCACAACCAUUGGUAAAGCUCUGGGGUUGCGAGAAAUUCAGUCAAUUUGAGGAGAAGUUUGAGGAGAUCAAUGGUGAUGAGGCAUCCCCAAGUAUUCCUUUGACAUCAAGGUUUGAUGGAAAUUCAGCUGCACCAAUGGUAACUGAAGAAAGCAGAAAUGACACUGAAAUGCAGGGUCAAGAAGAUCAUAGACUAUGCUCUGAUAUAAAUGCCUCACAAGACUUUGUGAGUGGGAUCAUGAAGAUUGUCCCAGAAGUUGAUAGCGAUGCAGAUUAUUGGCUUUUACCAGAUGUCGAUGUUAGCAUUACAGACAUGUGGACAGAGCAUAUCCUAUACUCUUGAGCUUGUGUGCCUAUGUGGGUUUUGAGAUUGCAAGAUCACAUAAAGAGAGUUUUGUUGCAGAUCUGUACCCAGUUACUUAUGGGUGGUGUUUUCUAUUAUUGUUGGUGAUCACAGGAUAUGCUAAAGUAUCACAUGAAGUAAAGCUGAAGGCUGGUCUGUUUGAUGUGGGCUUGAAGGACAUUAAGAGGGCCAGGUUACAAAAAUGCAGCAGUUCUUUGAGUGGUCCUCAAAAAGGAAAGUUGGUGUUUUUAAUUUAUGCUAAUUUUGUACCCAGCUUACCUUUAUGCAUAUCUAAUUUUGGAUGUUGUAUUGAGUGGAUGAUUAUUACAUCUGGUCUAUUUUUGAAGCCUAUCCCGGUGGGCUGUGUCUGGAGGCAUUUUUCUGCUCCUUUUGUUGUAUGCUGCUGCUAUAUGCUUUGCUGCCAGCUGCUGCUCUAUCUAUUCCUUACUGUUGUGGCCUUAUGCUAUUUGCUAUGCUGCAUGGCUGCAUAUUACUGCAUGGUUUUUCAAGUUAUACUAUAAAAUGUACUAAAUUAUUGCUUAGCAUAACAGUUAAAAGCAUGAUCUGUGGUUUUUAUAUUUUGUCUUAUUAUCUGUGAUGUUCGUUCAUGUGAUUUUGAUAUUAUCUAUCAUUUUUCUACAGUCUCAUUUAAAGAUAUUCCUGUCACCUAGUUUUACUUGCCAUAAAUUUUGGAAUUAAACAAAAUUCUUAGUCUCAUCAUUUGCAGAAUUCUGGUAGAGAAGUAGUUCCUUGAGUUGUUUUCAUUUUGUGGCUAUAUCAUUUGCUUAGCUGAAUGAGUUCAAACCUUCAUGUUACAACUUUUCAAUUGAAAAUAAAAGCAAAACUUUGAAAGUUUAUAGCUUUAUGAUUGCAGUUAAAUCAUUGCUAGCAUGAUGGGUCUCGGAGACAUUAGAAUUAUAAAACAUUCCAACUUUAAUUGUAUGUUUGACACAUCUUCAUUGAUUCAACUCUCUGUAAUUUCGGUGCUUUUCCGAUGAGUUUACAAUGAUAUCUGGCUCUGAUUUUGAGUAUUUUUUGUUCUUUCUUUUCUUGUUGGUGCAGUGGAUCCUGAAACAGCGCUUUACACAGAGCUAUGGCGCACUUGUGCUGGUCCGCUCGUGACAGUGCCUCGUGAAGACAAGCGCAUGUUCUAUUUUCCUCAAGGACAUAUUGAGCAGGCGAUGAAUUUGAUUUUCAGCCCUAGAAUUUGAAAUUCGUUGAUUUCGAAGAGUUAAGAAACGUCGACUUGAACCAACAUUUGGCUGGACAUGAUCCGUGUGAGACUUCGAGUGGUCCAGAUUCAUAUCCAAACAGGUCCACAGGACACAGGAACAGUCGCCUUAGCAGAAAAGUAGAAAAAGAAAAAGCUUUGAAAGAUCUAGAAAUUGGAGCGACAUUAUUUGGAUCGUCGUUGCCUUGCUAUUCCCCAUCAUAAUGUGUAUUGAUCAGGUGCAAGCUUGGAUUUGAAGAACAUAUAUCUCCAUGAUUGAUGCUCAUUCUGGUAGUGUUAACGAUCUUGCAUUCUCUUACCCAAACAAACAACUUUCUAUUGUCACAUGCGGGGAGGAUCGGCUCAUUAAGGUGUGGGAUGCAGUUACAGGGAAUAAGCAGUAUACUUUUGAGGGUCAUGAAGCACCCGUCUAUUCUGUAUGUCCACAUCGCAAGGAAAACAUUCAGGUAUUCUUUGUUCGCUAUAUAAUA